Molecule: long non-coding RNA, 713 nt
Filed under: Homo sapiens (human)
Lineage: Eukaryota; Metazoa; Chordata; Mammalia; Primates; Hominidae
Description: HSALNT0385459
Source: RNAcentral
AUUUAUUGACAAUUUCAUUAGUGAGGAUGUUUCUAUUGAAAACACAGAGUUAGGAAGUCUUAAAAUGUUCUUGGAAUAUAAAGUAAUAAUACCACCGGCGUUUAUCUUACUGUUUUCGUGUUCUAAGUGCAUGCAUCUAAGUAAAAGGAUCUGGGCUGCAGUCCAGUCUGAGAGAUGCCAGCAAAGGCUUCCUAGGCCAGUUCAGUCCAGUAAAUCCCUCUUCGAUCUUCUCUUCCACACAGACAGCAGUGAUGAGCAUGCCCAUGAACUCACAUGAUUAUUUUGGGGAAAAUGAAAGAGUUGUAUUCUUUUUGAGGUAGUAAUUCCACUUUCAGGGGCAAAUACAUUUUGAUUAUUUUAUCACCCUUCAGUGAGUUGUUUUUGUUCUUUAAUCAAGGAUGUAUGUUUGAAGUAAGAAGUAAAGCAUAAAGUAUACGAUUUUGUGUGUGUGUGUGUUUUUAUCUUGCUAUACCUGUAGGGAAUAUUUAAUUCUGCCUUGGAAGUGGCCAAAUUUGAAGGUGCUGUGAUUUGAACUGUCAGUGGGAUAAGGGGGCAGAUCAAGAAAGCACUCUGUGCUCCAGAAGGAGCUUUCCGGGCCAGCUUUGAGGAUAAGCUGCUGAUGAGCGCCAAUCCUGAGGCAAAAGAAACAUUUUAAUUCACUGCACAUUCCAAAAGCCUUGCAGAAGGCCCUGCCAUUUAAGAACAAGCCCAAG